This 442-nucleotide ribosomal RNA is filed under the name uncultured bacterium. RNAcentral's name for it is "partial 16S ribosomal RNA". It matches the Rfam family "Bacterial small subunit ribosomal RNA", at positions 338 to 795 of the family's 1533-position model. The record is from RNAcentral.
CCUACGGGAGGCAGCAGUGGGGAAUAUUGGGCAAUGGGCGCAAGCCUGACCCAGCAACGCCGCGUGAAGGAAGAAGGCUUUCGGGUUGUAAACUUCUUUUCUCAGGGACGUAGAAAGUGACGGUACCUGAGGAAUAAGCCUCGGCUAACUACGUGCCAGCAGCCGCGGUAAUACGUCGGUGGCGAGCGUUAUCCGGAUUGAUUGGGCGCAAAGGGUGCGUGGGCGGUCUGCAAAGUCUGGGGGAAAAGGUACCGGUUCAACCGGAACAGGCUCUGGAAACUGGCGGGCUAGAGAGCAGGAGAGGGCGGUGGAACGCCAUGUGUAGCGGUAAAAUGCGUAGAUAUAUGGAAGAACACCAGUGGCGAAGGCGGCCGCCUGGGCUGUUACUGACGCUGAGGCACGAAAGCGUGGGGAGCAAACAGGAUUAGAUACCCCAGUAGUC